Long non-coding RNA from Epinephelus moara (kelp grouper), 510 nucleotides. RefSeq lists it as uncharacterized. The transcript is spliced from 4 exons. The record is from RefSeq and is a predicted model, not a curated record. NCBI's taxonomy places the organism in Eukaryota, Metazoa, Chordata, Actinopteri, Perciformes, Serranidae.
GUAUGAGUCUUUAAAGAUGAAGAGCAAAUGAGAUGGAGGAAGACAACGAUGAUAUCACAGCAGCUGGAGGAGGAGAGCCUGAAACCAAAUCUGUACCAUCUGCAGCCAAUGGCAAAGUAGAUGAGACAGAAGAGGGUGCAGCCAAAGCCGAGUGUGAUCCAGUGAAUGAACCUGGUGAAGCUCAGCACUCAGAGAAGAAUGAUGAAAGCACAGGAAGAGAGUCUGAAAGUGACUCUGUUCAAUUUGCAACCGAUGACAAAGUGAUACCUGAACUCACACUGGUGUUAAUUGGUGAUACAAACUCCAUUGAGAUUGGAUCAAAAAACAUCUUACUUGACCAUGACUGGCAUACAAGUCUGUUUUCACACAGACUGUAUGAUUUGUGUGGUCGGCACAUUUCUGUCAUUAACAUGCUUGGCCUACAAAACAUUGACAAAUUCCCAUUAAAUCAGGAAAUUCAUGCCUUUCUCUUACUGUUACCAAAUGGUCUGCAUACAAGCCAUUACAGUU